UCUCUUUCAAUCUCACGUGUCCCUUUUCUCUAUCUCUCUCAAUCUCCCGUGCCCCUUGUCUCUCUCUCUCUCUCCAUCUUAUUCUUCUCAUCUUCAGUAGCAGAACCGCCAUCAUCACAAGACAGGGUAGCGCCCAUCUCCAUCAGAUCAGAGAAGACGACCAGGUCAGAAGGGUAUUGGCAACAAGGGCUGAUUACGAUGGAGAUGGAAAGAAGAAAGGUUGAAGAAGAUCACCAAGUCAAAGCGGAUGAAGCUCCUUAAGUUCGUGUCAGAUGAGAUCUUCGCAAAGAAGAAGAAUUAGAACAUUUAAACACCACAAUUUCAUCAAGGAACGCAAGUGAGACUCAAACAAAUGAGAUGGAGAAGGGGCCUAGUAGCACGUGCUAUCCUCGUACAGUUGUAGGAAAACAAGCAAAGGCCAGCUGGUGGUUGAACUAAAAAUCAGGCUAGCCUGCUUAUCAGGUGAGCGACAAGCUUAUAUUGAAUGUCAAUCAAUAGUUAUUUUCUUUGCAAACUUUUCAUUUUUGUGCUAUAAAUGUGGCACAACCAAUGUAAGUGGAGUGUUUGGCAUCCAAGUUGCAACUUAACAAACUUUGAAUGUCUACAAAUCUAUGGUUGUCUCCAUUUUUAAAGGGGAUGCGAGAAGGAGAAAGACGACGAUUGGCACAAGCUUGCACACAUCUCAUACAUUCAAAUUGGAUGGCCACCCGAUUUUGCAACCAUGGUGUCACUGAAGUUGCAAAAGCGCUUGGCCUUUAGUGUUCUCAAGUGUGGCAAGGGCAAGGUCUGGAUUGAUCCAAAUGAAGCUAGCGAGAUCUCAAUGUCAAAUUCCAAUGUCUCAUUUUCUUUUUAUUUACUCAUUUAAUUUUGGUGGAUAUUUUAAAUUGACAGGUGAAUGGUUAACCUUGCUUGACAAAUCAAGAAACUUAGGUUGA
Molecule: long non-coding RNA, 935 nt
Organism: Magnolia sinica
Lineage: Eukaryota; Viridiplantae; Streptophyta; Magnoliopsida; Magnoliales; Magnoliaceae
Exons: 3
Source: RefSeq, a predicted model, not a curated record